CCUACGGGAGGCAGCAGUGGGGAAUAUUGCACAAUGGGCGCAAGCCUGAUGCAGCGACGCCGCGUGGGGGAUGAAGGCCUUCGGGUUGUAAACUCCUUUCGCUAGGGACGAAGCUUUGUGUGACGGUACCUAGAUAAGAAGCACCGGCUAACUACGUGCCAGCAGCCGCGGU
This 172-nucleotide ribosomal RNA is filed under the name uncultured bacterium. RNAcentral describes it as "partial 16S ribosomal RNA". It matches the Rfam family "Bacterial small subunit ribosomal RNA", at positions 338 to 521 of the family's 1533-position model. The record is from RNAcentral.